RNAcentral lists this long non-coding RNA (885 nucleotides) under Anser brachyrhynchus (Pink-footed goose). RNAcentral's name for it is "lncRNA (ENSABRG00000007964.1)". The record is from RNAcentral. Lineage: Eukaryota; Metazoa; Chordata; Aves; Anseriformes; Anatidae.
CUCGGCUGUUUGGUUUGGAAGAAAAAGCACCUUCCUCCUCUGGAACAAGAAAGUCAUGUUGCCACUACCCAUUUCAAAGAAGGAAGGGGAAAAGUUCAGUGCCCCAGGAAAAUGGACAGAAGUCUCAUGGAGCCAUGAGCCUGCACUAAGCCAAGCUGUCUUCUUCCUCUUCACAUGGCUGAAGCUAGUGAGACGGGAGCUGUGCAAAAGUCUGGAUCACAGAAGAUUAAUGUUCAUCUCAGCAACAUACUGGAGAGGACAGACUGGAGUACUAUCAGAAAGUGGAAGGUUGAUGGACAGGACGCACAUAUUCCUGAUGGCCACAAUGGUAUUAUAGUGGGGAGGUAGUUACAUUCACUGGGAGCAAGUGUAUUGUUUUCUGCCCAGUGCAGAGUCUUCCUUGACUUCAUUGUAUAUAUAGUGUCAUAUAGUUAGUUGUAUGUUUCCUUUAUUCCAUAUUUAGGAUGGACUUUUUUUGUGAGACAGGAAAAGAAAUUGUAACGAUGGCUGGUUUGUUAAUUAUUUCUCAUCUGAUUCUUUUCCUGAUGUAGUCAAUAUAGUGGUCCAAGAUGGUUUUGAGACUUCAAGCCCAAUGUGUUCCCUUGUCUUUUUCCUGAAGUUGCCAAUAGGAGGAAUGGUAUAAGAGCUAACUUCUGGUUAUGGAAGAAGGAUGAAGGACAGGGUGGGCAAAAUAGUUCUCCUAAUUCCUCAUAUACAAACAUGCCAUCUGGUUUUUCCCCUAGAGAGACAUUUGGGCUUUUACAGCAGACUGUUCACCUUAGGUUAGCAGAGUGUUCAAUGACUGAAAAUGUUUGAUUGGUUCCUUAUAUGCUAGAGGCUGGGGUAGCUAUUGUUAUGUUAGUUGGCUAGGGGGUUCAAUGCCUG